RNAcentral lists this transfer RNA (75 nucleotides) under Colletotrichum fructicola Nara gc5. RNAcentral describes it as "tRNA-Lys for anticodon CUU". It matches the Rfam family "tRNA". Rfam says of the family: Transfer RNA (tRNA) molecules are approximately 80 nucleotides in length. Their secondary structure includes four short double-helical elements and three loops (D, anti-codon, and T loops). Lineage: Eukaryota; Fungi; Ascomycota; Sordariomycetes; Glomerellales; Glomerellaceae. The record is from RNAcentral.
GCCCGGCUAGCUCAAUCGGUAGAGCGUGAACUCUUAAUCUCAAGGUUGUUGUGGGUUCGACCCCCACGUCGGGCU